ACAACAACAAACCGAAGUGUGCUUUCCGUC
RNAcentral lists this non-coding RNA (30 nucleotides) under Mus musculus (house mouse). The record is from RNAcentral. Lineage: Eukaryota; Metazoa; Chordata; Mammalia; Rodentia; Muridae.